This 237-nucleotide long non-coding RNA is filed under the name Elaeis guineensis (African oil palm). Its description in RNAcentral is "long non-coding RNA (EGUI_LNC036449)". The record is from RNAcentral. Lineage: Eukaryota; Viridiplantae; Streptophyta; Magnoliopsida; Arecales; Arecaceae.
CCUGAUUAUCUCUAAGUGUGCAUGUGGAAUAGACGGAAGAUUGGGUGGCACAUCCUUUUCUUUUUAAAAAAUUUUGGAUGCCAAAUCUUUGAGGGGCCCACCCCCUCUUAUUUGUCAUGGUGUAGAGGAGAGAGAGUGGGAUCCAUGCCCCAUCUCUUUUGUCUAGAGAUCCCUUUGUGGGGUGCCAAGAGUUGGUGCCCCAGCUACUUGACAAAUAUUUCUUGAUGCCUCUUGUAC